GCGGGAAUAGCUCAGUUGGUAGAGCAUCAGCCUUCCAAGCUGAGGGUCGCCGGUUCGAGCCCGGUUUCCCGCUCCA
This 76-nucleotide transfer RNA is filed under the name bacterium. RNAcentral's name for it is "tRNA-Gly". It matches the Rfam family "tRNA". Rfam says of the family: Transfer RNA (tRNA) molecules are approximately 80 nucleotides in length. RNAcentral also lists the same sequence under 4 other names. The record is from RNAcentral.